This 253-nucleotide ribosomal RNA is filed under the name uncultured bacterium. Its description in RNAcentral is "partial 16S ribosomal RNA". It matches the Rfam family "Bacterial small subunit ribosomal RNA", at positions 524 to 776 of the family's 1533-position model. The record is from RNAcentral.
UACGUAGGGGGCUAGCGUUGUCCGGAAUCAUUGGGCGUAAAGCGCGUGUAGGCGGUCCGGUAAGUCCGCUGUGAAAGUCGGGGGCUCAACCCUCGAAAGCCGGUGGAAACUGUCGGGCUAGAGUGCGGAAGAGGCGAGUGGAAUUCCUGGUGUAGCGGUGAAAUGCGCAGAUAUCAGGAGGAACACCAAUUGCGAAGGCAGCUCGCUGGGACGUUACUGACGCUGAGGCGCGAAAGCGUGGGGAGCAAACAGG